Molecule: long non-coding RNA, 1163 nt
Organism: Cyprinus carpio carpio
Lineage: Eukaryota; Metazoa; Chordata; Actinopteri; Cypriniformes; Cyprinidae
Source: Ensembl
CUCAGCGGAGGCGGUCGCAUUUUCUUCCUCUCCUCCCUGCCUUCCCUGCUUUGCUUGGUUUCUCUUGUCUCGUCUACUUUGAGAGACUCUCUCUGCACUGCUCUCCUAAACUCGAACAUGGAUUUGAUUAAUUGGUCUCUCAACGCAAUUGACACCAUCUUCUCGACGAGGAGCUUGGGUUCGGGGGAACCUGACUGCCCUGCCGGAACAUUCGCAGCUGACUACACGAUGGACGCGUGGGCGAAUUGGCGGGUCGUGUGUCUGGCGGCUCUUUCCGUGGAGGACAUUGAAGACAUCUACCUAUUCGGAACCAUGAUAACAGGUAUUCUGCUGAUUGGAUUAGGCUUUGCCCUGGGUUAUCGGAAAAUUCAGAAGACGGGAACAGCUGUCCAAAGCCUCACAAGGCUGCCCGUCAUAAUUGAAGCAGUGGGCAGAGUGGUCAGCAUUGAGACUGAGACUAUUAACCGCAAUAUGGAUAACAUCACGAAGAAGCUCACGGCUUUGGAAAGGAAAUUGGAGAAUUUGGAGACCAAAAUGGACAAUGAACAAUCAUAGUGACCGUAAAAUGGAAUGCGGCUACUAGACCAAACAACUGGUAUCAUAUCUUCUUUCGGCUUUCUCUACCAGCCUUGGCCUUGGCUGGAUAACAAAUAUCUCCCGGGACCUGACCAAGGCUGUCUCCAUGGCAACUUGCUGUGACGCUGUAUAAUCUGCGGACUGAGGCAUCUAGAGAGAAUCGCAACUCUCCAGGCCUACACAUACACUAACUCUUACACAUAUACAGAUAUGCAUUCACCCCCCCAACCCCCAUCCCUCGCCUUCGCCGCUUUGUUCCACCAGUCUGGCGAGCGGGUCUGUGACCAGCGCUGUAAUGGCUGCAGGACCGGAUGCUGAUUGCCUGGGCUGGAUCACCUCGACCCCCAACUUCCGUCCCCAGUUGCAAAGUCGUGUUUUUAUGGUGUAUUGAUUAUGUGCUUUUGUGCUGAGGUAUUUUUCCUGUCCUCAAACGGUGCUCCCAAAGGAGCACAGUCUGGGUGUUGGUUUUUUCCUCCUCUCUUUCCUAAUGUUUUUUGCUGUUAUCUCUUCCCCUGUCUACUGUAUUUCGUUGCCUUGUGCCCACAUGUGCAAUGACAAUAAAGUUGAAUCUAAUCUAAUCUAAUCUA